RNAcentral lists this long non-coding RNA (554 nucleotides) under Nicotiana benthamiana. RNAcentral describes it as "long non-coding RNA (NBEN_LNC002431)". The record is from RNAcentral. Lineage: Eukaryota; Viridiplantae; Streptophyta; Magnoliopsida; Solanales; Solanaceae.
GUUGUUGUUGUUGUUAUUUUACAACCACAAAUAGAGAAAAAAAAAAGAAUUAGAAGUAUAAAUUCAAGCAUGCAAGAGAGUUUUUUGUUGGUUAAGGAUAAUCUGUAGACAUUAUGACUGAAGGUGCACAUAAGCACUCACUCAUCAACUGAAUUACUGAAGUGCAUAGAUGAAACUAAGCAGUACAAAAUCUACUAUGCUAAAGACAACACAUAUAGGAUUUUUCUUAAUGUUUAUUCAAACCACUUGGAUUUCAUCUCUGUAAAUGAAAGUAACGGGGAGCAAUUAGACGAGCAUACUAACUUGGCAUGCCAAAUAGGUCCACUUUGAGACACAAGAGCACUGAAAUGAAUGAUCACAUAGUGUACUCUGUAUUCCGCUUGUAUCUUGGUCCAAUCUUUCUGAAAAUUUCAACAUGAAUUGCAAAAGUUAUCAAUAUAACAUAUAAACAAAUGUACAAAAAACAACAACAACAACAACAACAACAACCCAGUAUACUCCCACAUAGUGGGGUCUGGGGAGGGUAGUAUGUACGCAGACCUUACCUCUACCCU